CCUAUAGGAGAAUGUGAAGCCUUUAGUUGCUCUGAGUUUGUUUAAGCUCUUCUCCACUGAAGAUGUCCCUUUACAUCUGAUGAACCCAGAAGCUGGAAAGCCCUCUGAUUUGAUUCUCACCCUACUUUUGGUGCCUCCCUUGUUUAUCAGACCCUCUGUUGUGAGUGAUUUGAAGUCUGGAUCCAAUGAAGAAGACCAGCCAAUGAAACUGACAGAGAUCAAUUUCCUAAAUGAUGUGAUCAAAAAUAUCAGUGUUUCCCAUUAACUUGUGCAUUCUGCACUUCAUGCAUCUAGAGUUGAUGACUCACUAGAAUGCAAGAAAACUCAGAGCAGGUUUGUUUCUGAUCUUUCUGUACAUCUGCACUGGAUCUUGGGAGCCAAGAUGCAGAUGAUCAUGGAGGACUGGACUUCCUGCAGCUGAGAAGGAGCAGCAAAGAAUGGAAGAGAGACUUCAGAGCAUGCUGAAGCAGAGGGAGCUGGUUACACAGCAAAAACACUUGGCAAUAAAGCUGCAGCAUCAUUUGACUGUCUCCCAGAUGAGAAAAUAUGUAGACCCAGAAAUGAAGAUAAAUGACAGAGAAUAUAUCUCUGUGGACAAUAAACAGUGUCUGUUUCUUGACCAAACUACAUCACAGUAUUCACAUUGAUCAGAGCAAGCUUGCCAGAAGUGGAUGAAGAGGAGCAAUAGAAAACAUUUUUGGAAGUCCAGAUGUUAAUGUUUGUCCUCAGGGAGAGCCGCCACCUAACACCUCUGAAGAACCAACACCUCUACAGGAGGACUAAGUCAGCAGACCAAUAGAUGUGAUUGUGCCUGGAUCACCUGGAAGACAGCUGGUAUUUUCCUCACUGAAACAUCUUUACACAGGAAACAGAUGCAUACUGUAGGGAAC
Long non-coding RNA from Onychomys torridus (southern grasshopper mouse), 890 nucleotides. RefSeq lists it as uncharacterized. The record is from RefSeq and is a predicted model, not a curated record. The transcript has 5 exons. Lineage: Eukaryota; Metazoa; Chordata; Mammalia; Rodentia; Cricetidae.